GAACUGCGAUAAGUAGUGUGAAUUGCAGAAUUCAGUGAAUCAUCAAACCCUUGAACGUACAUGGCGCCUUGUGGCAACGCAAGGCACGCCUGUUUGAGCCUCGGUAUUCAACCUCGCAACCACCCAGGUGGCGGCGGAACUUGGGGAUUGCCUGUUGCAGGGCAUUCCCUCAAACAAAGCUGCAGGGUCGGCAAAGGACAAGGCUCCCGAAACCGAAUCGAUCAACCAGCUUCUUGAUGGCCCAAGGCCUCUCUUGGCAGGCUCGAUUCGUUCUCUUCGUUGGCUUCCCUUGUUUUUCCUGCAAGACGUUACCUCGUCCUCUCUCUUCGGAGAGGGCAGAGGUUACCUUUUCAAUUUUCGAGCUCAAAUCAGGCGAGACUACCCGCUGAAUUUAA
This 395-nucleotide unclassified non-coding RNA is filed under the name uncultured fungus. Its description in RNAcentral is "sequence contains ITS1". The stretch from base 1 to 103 matches the Rfam family "5.8S ribosomal RNA", at positions 50 to 154 of the family's 154-position model. Lineage: Eukaryota; Fungi. The record is from RNAcentral.